AUAAAACCAUUCUCAAUCAUCUGCAUGGAUUUACAUCCUGCCAAAAAAUAUUUUUUAUGUAGCAGAGAUCAGACAAUAUGGAAAGGCAAAAAAUGACCCUAUAAGAAUUGCUGUAGAUAAAAACACCUCAAGAAAACCCCAUCAUCAGACUCAGUAUUACUUCUGGAUUGUUUUCCCACAGAUCCACCUCCAUAUCUCUUUUCUUAUCACUUAAGUUUUUAGAGAGGAAAAAAAAUUACUGCUAGCAAGUUUAAAGCAUUUACAAAUCAUAAGAUACAACCACAACUCCAGAGUCACUCAUGAUCACUGCUAAUCUACAGCAUUAAACACACAUACACAAAGCAAAUAACAUAUUCCACAAUUGUUAGAAAUCUAAAAAAUAGCUGUUGUGGAAUUAAAGAUUU
Molecule: long non-coding RNA, 404 nt
Filed under: Bos taurus (domestic cattle)
Lineage: Eukaryota; Metazoa; Chordata; Mammalia; Artiodactyla; Bovidae
Description: long non-coding RNA NONBTAT000412
Source: RNAcentral